GGGUAAUUAACUCAGUUGUAAGAAAAGAGAGCAUCGCCUCCCUUUACAAAUAAUGGCGAGGGUCACUGGUUCAAGUCCAGUAUCACCCACCA
RNAcentral lists this transfer RNA (92 nucleotides) under Pseudoalteromonas sp. A601. Its description in RNAcentral is "tRNA-OTHER". The record is from RNAcentral. Lineage: Bacteria; Pseudomonadati; Pseudomonadota; Gammaproteobacteria; Alteromonadales; Pseudoalteromonadaceae. RNAcentral also lists the same sequence under 4 other names.